This 1427-nucleotide ribosomal RNA is filed under the name uncultured organism. Its description in RNAcentral is "16S ribosomal RNA". It matches the Rfam family "Bacterial small subunit ribosomal RNA". The record is from RNAcentral.
GCGUGCUUAACACAUGCAAGUCGAACGGAAAGGCCCUGCUUUUGUGGGGUGCUCGAGUGGCGAACGGGUGAGUAACACGUGAGUAACCUGCCCUUGACUUUGGGAUAACUUCAGGAUCCUGGGGCUAAUACCGGAUAGGAGCUCCUGCUGCAUGGUGGGGGUUGGAAAGUUUCGGCGGUUGGGGAUGGACUCGCGGCUUAUCAGCUUGUUGGUGGGGUAGUGGCUUACCAAGGCUUUGACGGGUAGCCGGCCUGAGAGGGUGACCGGCCACAUUGGGACUGAGAUACGGCCCAGACUCCUACGGGAGGUAGCAGUGGGGAAUAUUGCACAAUGGGCGGAAGCCUGAUGCAGCAACGCCGCGUGCGGGAUGACGGCCUUCGGGUUGUAAACCGCUUUCGCCUGUGACGAAGCGUGAGUGACGGUAAUGGGUAAAGAAGCACCGGCUAACUACGUGCCAGCAGCCGCGGUGAUACGUAGGGUGCGAGCGUUGUCCGGAUUUAUUGGGCGUAAAGGGCUCGUAGGUGGUUGAUCGCGUCGGAAGUGUAAUCUUGGGGCUUAACCCUGAGCGUGCUUUCGAUACGGGUUGACUUGAGGAAGGUAGGGGAGAAUGGAAUUCCUGGUGGAGCGGUGGAAUGCGCAGAUAUCAGGAGGAACACCAGUGGCGAAGGCGGUUCUCUGGGCCUUUCCUGACGCUGAGGAGCGAAAGCGUGGGGAGCGAACAGGCUUAGAUACCCUGAUAGUCCACGCUGUAAACGGUGGGUACUAGGUGUGGGGUCCAUUCCACGGGUUCCGUGCCGUAGCUAACGCUUUAAGUACCCCGCCUGGGGAGUACGGCCGCAAGGCUAAAACUCAAAGGAAUUGACGGGGCCCCGCACAAGCGGCGGAGCAUGCGGAUUAAUUCGAUGCAACGCGUAGAACCUUACCUGGGUUUGACAUGGAUCGGGAGUGCUCAGAGAUGGGUGUGCCUCUUUUGGGGUCGGUUCACAGGUGGUGCAUGGCUGUCGUCAGCUCGUGUCGUGAGAUGUUGGGUUAAGUCCCGCAACGAGCGCAACCCUUGUUCACUGUUGCCAGCACGUUAUGGUGGGGACUCAGUGGAGACCGCCGGGGUCAACUCGGAGGAAGGUGGGGAUGACGUCAAGUCAUCAUGCCCCUUAUGUCCAGGGCUUCACGCAUGCUACAAUGGCUGGUACAGAGAGUGGCGAGCCUGUGAGGGUGAGCGAAUCUCGGAAAGCCGGUCUCAGUUCGGAUUGGGGUCUGCAACUCGACCUCAUGAAGUCGGAGUCGCUAGUAAUCGCAGAUCAGCAACGCUGCGGUGAAUACGUUCCCGGGGCUUGUACACACCGCCCGUCAAGUCAUGAAAGUUGGUAACACCCGAAGCCGGUGGCCUAACCGAUGUGGGGGAGCCGUCGAAGGUGGGACUGGUGAUU